AUCCAUGGCUAGGCAAUACAUUCACAACAUCAAAGCUUCUGUUAAAAAACUAGCAUUAAUUCUUUCACCAUCACAUCUCGGGUCUCAUGAUAACCUUUGCAUGCCACACGGAAGCACGGAAGGCGACACACUUGCUCGGUGCAUUUCUGAAAGCUACAGGGUUUAUUCAGGAUCAGAAUUGCUUGAAUCUUCCACUGAUGGCAGUGAUUCACUUCUAAAGAUGAUUUGGCACCACUCAAAUGCAAUUCUGUGCUGUACUACGACGGUUUGCACUUUACCUUUUUCUUUCAUUAUAGUUAAAUUCAGAAUCAACUAGCAAGAUCGCUUUUUCCUCAUGAUAUACUUUCUACUACUGUCUUCUCUAUUGUUCCAUUUCUGUCAUGAACUAAUGAGCUAAUUUCAUGCAUAGAAAAGGAAUACCCCUUACACAUGUUUGAAAAUUGAAAUCUCAUGUCGGACAAAUGAUCGAAAUAUAUCGGCAUAGGUCAUAACUAUUUAGAAGUAGUGUUCAUACUGACCUGAACUAACCAGUUAUCACCAUAGAUUUUAUAUCUCAUCUUCACUUUGUUUUGGAUGUCUCCGUUAAACAUGGCAAGCGGUGCUUCAAUAUCUUUGACAUACAUAGCUUCCGAAAGGGCAAUCCCAGGAUACGGAGGUGGAAUGAGCUCAGCAAAAGCUGCAUUGGAGAGCGAUACAAAAAAAUGGCUAAUGAAUGAUGCUCUAUCCAACUGAUUGACGGAGAUGGUGUAUUCAAUGUCACGAGUCUUGAACACUUUAUGAAGUCAGUGAAGUUGGCAGAGCAUGGAUUCUCCUAUGCUGUAGUUUCUAUCAUGGGUCCACAAAGUAGUGGUGAUUUGGUCACAUAUUUGUGAAUCUAGGGAAGUGAUAUCACUUUCAAGAUGCAGAACGAAGCGGGUGAAAUGAUGAAUCUUUAUAUCCUUAGAAAAUGUUCUGCUACGAACAGACUAAUCACUGCCAAGGAUCACGCAUCCGUCCAAA
Molecule: long non-coding RNA, 999 nt
Organism: Zingiber officinale
Lineage: Eukaryota; Viridiplantae; Streptophyta; Magnoliopsida; Zingiberales; Zingiberaceae
Exons: 6
Source: RefSeq, a predicted model, not a curated record